CUUCGCCGUAGAGGCGCAAUAGUCAUCAGUAUUUAUGGUUGGAGUGAUGUCAAUGAACCAUAAAAAAAGGGGCGAUUGCCGAAGCGACUGUUUUUCAUCAAAUACAUUCGCUGGGGUUGUAUUGAAUAAGUACAACACUGCCAUAGUCUAUUGUGUUGUUAAACUAUGGAGCGCUACUGUAGGG
Molecule: non-coding RNA, 184 nt
Filed under: Vibrio sp.
Lineage: Bacteria; Pseudomonadati; Pseudomonadota; Gammaproteobacteria; Vibrionales; Vibrionaceae
Also listed under: 1 other name
Description: Lysine sequence
Rfam family: Lysine riboswitch aptamer
About the family: Riboswitches are metabolite binding domains within certain messenger RNAs that serve as precision sensors for their corresponding targets. Allosteric rearrangement of mRNA structure is mediated by ligand binding, and this results in modulation of gene expression. This family includes riboswitches that sense lysine in a number of genes involved in lysine metabolism, including lysC.
Source: RNAcentral